UCCCGGGUCGUAUAACGGCAAUACCGGGGUUUUUGGUACCUCAGAUGGGGGUUCGACUCCUCCCCCGGGAG
This 71-nucleotide transfer RNA is filed under the name Phytomonospora endophytica. Its description in RNAcentral is "Micromonosporaceae bacterium YIM 65646 tRNA". It matches the Rfam family "tRNA". Rfam says of the family: Transfer RNA (tRNA) molecules are approximately 80 nucleotides in length. Their secondary structure includes four short double-helical elements and three loops (D, anti-codon, and T loops). Lineage: Bacteria; Bacillati; Actinomycetota; Actinomycetes; Micromonosporales; Micromonosporaceae. The record is from Rfam by way of RNAcentral.